GAACUUUGGAGAAUCCUGAUUAAAUUCAGGUGCCGAAGGGGCAAUGCGAAAGCAGUAAUCUCUCAGGCGAAAGGACAAAGC
RNAcentral lists this non-coding RNA (81 nucleotides) under human gut metagenome. Its description in RNAcentral is "Glycine riboswitch". It matches the Rfam family "Glycine riboswitch aptamer", at positions 9 to 86 of the family's 94-position model. From Rfam's summary of the family: This family represents the bacterial glycine riboswitch. The record is from RNAcentral.